GGCUUAAUCCCAUCUGGGCAAAUCCUUCACCAUCUUUCCAAUGCGCCCUAAAACCAGCCACUACCAUCGUUUCACCUUUCACUGAUGUUACCACCCUCCACGCUCAUUCCCCGCGCUUCCACUAGCCACCCCCGUCUACAAAUUACAAAGAAAGAUACCCCAUAUUCAAUCCAUCCUUAAUAAUUUCUCAAAUUGUACUAUAUAGUAAGAACAAGAAGUUGAAUCGAAUUGGGUUCGUUGGAUUAGAAUUGGAAUCAGUCUCUCAUCCAUCAGCGGUUGCGAUCGCUCUUAAUUCCGGCGGAAGAAAUGGCGAUGAAAUGAAGGAACGACAGUGCUGGCAACCAGAAGAAGACGCCUUGAUGCGAUGGGUCAAAAGAGUGGAGCCUUGCCUCCCAGUGGAUGGGGAAGUUCCUCUUCCAUGACCCAAAGUCCUGCCUGGAGCGAUGGAAGAACUAUCUAGAGCCGAGCCUGAAGAAAGGUUGACCUCGGAAGAGCAAACCCUCGUCGUCUCCCGCCAGGCCAAGCAUGGCAACAAGUUGAAAAAGAUCGUUGCCAAGCUCCCUGGUCACACCCCCAAGCACCUCGACCCGACCCGUUUUCAUCAAAUGGGCACUCUGAUUCAGCUGUGUAAGGAGGUGGAUGACGGGAGGUAGAGCUGGAUGCAGUAGAAGAAUGAGGCAAUGUGGCGGCUGAGUAGGCUAAAGCAGCAGCUGGAGUCGGUGAAGGGAAGGAAGCGGAGAGAGGCGGUGGAGAAAUCGAGGCGAAGAUAAGGUGUUUGAGAGAGUAUGAGGCGGCAUUCGUGGGGAGAAUCGAGAGGGAUUACAGGCAACAGGGAGGAGCGGAGCAUGCCGCAGAGGGAGGCGGAGGGCAAUGAGGCCAAGAAGCUAGCGAAGCUUGUUUUGGGGGGGGGGGGUGUUUGCGGUGUCAGGGUUUAUAAUCAUGGUUUUAGCAGUAAACAAAGUUAAUUAGAAUCCAAUUAUGUGGUUUGGUUUUGUUUUGGAAUUUCACCUAAAUUAACAUUAUCCUCAAGUUGUCAGCUUUCUUUUCUUUAGUUAUUUUGUGAAA
Non-coding RNA from Malus domestica (apple), 1065 nucleotides. Lineage: Eukaryota; Viridiplantae; Streptophyta; Magnoliopsida; Rosales; Rosaceae. The record is from RefSeq and is a predicted model, not a curated record.